This 159-nucleotide small RNA is filed under the name Arabidopsis thaliana (thale cress). Lineage: Eukaryota; Viridiplantae; Streptophyta; Magnoliopsida; Brassicales; Brassicaceae. The record is from RNAcentral.
AAUAAAUACGAUUGCAUUGCAUAUACUAACGAAUGUGAUCAUACCAGCACGAAUUCACUAGAUCCCAUCAGAACUCCGUUGUUAAGCUUGCUUGGGCGAGAGUGUACUAGUAUGGGUGACCUCUUGGUAAGUCAUCGUGUUGCAUCCCUCUAUUUUUUU